AACGAACGCUGGCGGCAUGCCUAACACAUGCAAGUCGAACGAGGCCUUCGGGUCUAGUGGCGCACGGGUGCGUAACGCGUGGGAACCUGCCCUUAGGUUCGGAAUAACUCCCCGAAAGGGGUGCUAAUACCGGAUAAUGUCUUCGGACCAAAGAUUUAUCGCCUUUGGAUGGGCCCGCGUUGGAUUAGCUAGUUGGUAGGGUAAAAGCCUACCAAGGCGACGAUCCAUAGCUGGUCUGAGAGGAUGAUCAGCCACACUGGGACUGAGACACGGCCCAGACUCCUACGGGAGGCAGCAGUGGGGAAUAUUGGACAAUGGGCGAAAGCCUGAUCCAGCAAUGCCGCGUGAGUGAUGAAGGCCUUAGGGUUGUAAAGCUCUUUUACCCGGGAUGAUAAUGACAGUAUCGGGAGAAUAAGCUCCGGCUAACUCCGUG
Molecule: ribosomal RNA, 433 nt
Filed under: uncultured bacterium
Lineage: Bacteria
Description: partial 16S ribosomal RNA
Rfam family: Bacterial small subunit ribosomal RNA
Source: RNAcentral